Molecule: unclassified non-coding RNA, 386 nt
Filed under: uncultured Phycisphaeraceae bacterium
Lineage: Bacteria; Pseudomonadati; Planctomycetota; Phycisphaerae; Phycisphaerales; Phycisphaeraceae
Description: contains 16S-23S intergenic spacer region
Source: RNAcentral
UCCGGUUUGACACCGGCAGUCUCGCUAGAGUCCUCGCCAUGACGCGUUAGCAACUAGAGAUAGGGGUUUCGCUCGUUAAGGGACUUAACCCGACACUUCACAGCACGAGCUGACGACAGCCAUGCAGCACCUGUGCACGUUGUACCCGUGAGGGCCUGGCCGCGAUUUCUCGCGGUUAAUCCGUGCAUGUCAAGCCCAGGAUAAGGUUCUUCGCGUUGCUUCGAAUUAAGCCACAUGCUCCACCGCUUGUGUGAGCCCCCGUCAAUUCCUUUGAGUUUUAGCCUUGCGACCGUACUCCCCAGGCGGUGCACUUAACAAUUUUUCUUCGACCACGAUGGCGUCAGAGCCUCCGCGAUCUAGUGCACAUCGUUUAGGGCGUGGACUAC